RNAcentral lists this transfer RNA (60 nucleotides) under Rhodospirillales bacterium. RNAcentral's name for it is "tRNA-Phe". It matches the Rfam family "tRNA", at positions 7 to 64 of the family's 71-position model. From Rfam's summary of the family: Transfer RNA (tRNA) molecules are approximately 80 nucleotides in length. Their secondary structure includes four short double-helical elements and three loops (D, anti-codon, and T loops). The record is from RNAcentral. Lineage: Bacteria; Pseudomonadati; Pseudomonadota; Alphaproteobacteria; Rhodospirillales.
GUAGCUCAGUUGGUAGAGCACAGCACUGAAAAUGCUGGUGUCGGCUGUUCAAAUCAGCCC